UGAUAGCUGGUUUAUAUUGUUGUUCUUAAAAUAUUACCUGGUGCAAAUAGACCAGAAACGCAAUUUUCUAUUGUGUAGUGGAGUUUCAAAUUAAAUUAACUUGAAAUCUUUUUUCACUUGCUGGGUUUAAGUUUUCGCCGUAGACUUCCCUUUUCAGUGAUAGGUUCUUAGAUAUUCUUAUGUUCUUACCGCCCCUUUUCAUAUACCCUACAAUGUUCCAGAAUGACACAAUUCCUUGUGAUACUAUAUCAUAACGAGGUUAUACAUUUCUUUUCAGGCAAUACGUCAUGAGCUUUACAAAAAUUCUACAGAGGACAAUUCAAGGCCAGACACCUCGCCAAUUGUCCUACUUUAUGCCAGUGUACGAGUCCUAUAGCAGAAAAACUGAAAAGAAACAUAUACAGUCUGUGUUUAACACUGCGGAAUUCACCUAUUUCCAUGUUUCCUCUGGCAAUAGGAGAUACAAGCCUGUAAAUAACAAAACACAGCACAACAAAUGGACCACUGUAAAUAACAAAGACUCUGACCGGCGACAGAAUAUGCCGACUGGACGGACCAAAAGUUAGAAAUUGAAGGAUCCUUUACUAUAUCUCCGAUAACAGUUUUAUUAGACAUAGAAAAUUAAUCUUUCGUACAGAUAAAGACAAUAUCUUGAAAACAUUUUUUGUGUGUUUAUAUUAAUUGGACAAAACAAGAACA
This 699-nucleotide long non-coding RNA is filed under the name Mytilus galloprovincialis (Mediterranean mussel). Lineage: Eukaryota; Metazoa; Mollusca; Bivalvia; Mytilida; Mytilidae. The record is from RNAcentral.